This 1394-nucleotide long non-coding RNA is filed under the name Homo sapiens (human). RNAcentral's name for it is "HSALNT0101789". The record is from RNAcentral. Lineage: Eukaryota; Metazoa; Chordata; Mammalia; Primates; Hominidae.
GAAUAAACACUAAUUUGUUUGCGUGUGAAUAAGGCAUCAUUUAUGUAGCAACUUCUACAGAUUGGGUACUGGAGAUUUUUCCAAAACGAAUAAUGCUCCUGCUUUUGAGCUUACAAUGUAGUAGGAAAGAUAAACAGAGUGUGAUAAGUGACAUCAUAAAGGCACAAACAAAUUCCUGUGAGCACAAAGUGGAAAGCCCCUGAGCUGGAAAAUAGCACUGAGGUGGUUUCAUGAAAGAGGAAGCAGCAAGGCUGGGCCUUGAAGAACGUGAAGGAGUCACCCAGCUAGAGAGGGCAGGAGGGUGUUCCACGAAGUACAAACAUCAUGAACAGAAAGUCAAAGAGUGAAAGUGAAGGGAGGAUUGGGGAGCAGUGAACAGACAAUGUGAGAGAGCUGCGGCACCAUGGAGAAGAGUAAUGAGAGGGACAUCCUGAAGGAAAGACAAUAUGAAGGACUGUCGAUGCCAAAGAAAGGACUUUCAGCCAUAUGCACGCAAUGGGGAGCAAUGCAAGAUUGUCAACCAAGAGACUGAGGUGCUGCUACCACAAACAUGAGGAAACUUCUGUUAGGAGUUCAACCUUCAGAGAGGACAGCUGGCAGUGCAAGAUGGUGACAGCCCUGCAAUCAGGAGAAGAAAGUCAUGAGAGUAAGGAAUGAUGGAGAGGGAUGAGAGCGUUUUCUAGGAUUUGAAGAGUUAAGAGACUCUGAAUAAUUGGCAGGGGAAGCUGGGAUGGAGAACAAAGUAGGAGAAGAAUCAUUUGCUGUGAACUCUGUAUUUGGAUUCCAUUUUUGAUGAUCUUUGAAAAUGGGAAUAAAGGAUUUGGGUUAUUUUUAAAUUCCUUUGGAGGCUAGACAGUUUCCCUAAAUUCAGCAUUCCCUUUGAAACUAGACCGCAUGAGUCUCUGGUUUGUGCAGGGUUACCCUGGGUCAGAGUUGCCUCUAGAAUAAGCAAUGGGUAAGUCCUUGAGCUGUUGGAAGCGCAUGGAGUGCCUGACAGUCUUCUGCACAUUAGGCAUAGGGGACCCUUUUGGGGGAAGAGGAUGAAGAAUAGGAGGGGUGAUGGGAGCAUGUUGGGUUGUGCCAGUUUAAAGAGAACGUGAAAAAGAUAAGCAAGCAAAUGAGGCUGCAAAAGAGGAAUCAUGGGAGAAUGAGGAAAAUUAAGUGAUCAUAGCAUCCCUGAGGUCAAAAGAGCAGGGGUUUCAGGGAGAGUGCCAGGGCAUUAGUUAAUACAAAGAAGAGACCACUGGCUUUGCACCCUGGAGGUCAAUGCUAUCCUCUUCCUAAUCCAUUACUAUAGAGUGAUGGGGACCAGCGUUUGUGUAUUGAGGAGAUAAUGAGAAGUGUAAAUGGAAAACAACCAGAAGAUAACAAGGAUAAACAACUCUUUCAAAAAU